GUAAACAAGUUUAAUGUAGAUGUUAACCCAGUGCCAAAAGUAGGGUUACAAAUGUGGAGUACCUUUCAUUUCAGUCUUCUAAGCUUGCUUUUUUUUUUUUUUAAAGUAUGAAAUCAUUUUUAAAUUGUACAUGUAGGUUUUGCUUCCAUUUUCUUAAGUUUUAGCAUUUGAAUUGUUUGAAGAUUUUGCCAAACUUUAUUACUUUUCUUAAAUGAGCUCUUAGAUGAAAUGUAUAGCACACCCUUUAAUUUGACCUCCUAAUGUCUGUAGCUAACCAUCUGUCAUUGCUUCCUGGAUUUUAGACUAUGGCAAAACAGUGGAGCUUGCCCCUGCCUGUCCUGACGUGACUAGCUCUGAGUAGCCACACUGAAAUCCUUCAGUGUAAUUGACUGCAAGUUAAGAAGUAGCAGUUUUCUUAUGUCGAGGCAAUCUGUACUCCUCUCCAUUUUUUGGAAGCACUGAUGUUGCUUUUGGAGCUUAAGAAUGAGAUACAGCAGUUUGGCUGACUUGAGAUACAGCAAUUUCUUAAUUAUCUAAAGCAAUAAGUAAAAGGAUCCAUCAUUAGAUUCAGAGCUCAUCUCAGAACUUCAUUUUAGCCAAAACUUUCACUUUAAUCAUAUCUUCAGACUCACUAACAAAUAACCGGAGAGAGGUAUAUUAGUAAGUAAUGAAACUGCCAGUGGUGGUCAGCUGACAGAAGAGGAGGGAUUCAGACUGGAAUAUUCUGCCCUGAGUAAUUGACAGUUGACUGGACUUUACACAGUAACUAGCCGGUUUGUUGUCUCUGUGUCUUACUACAGAGGGAGUUGUACUCAACUGGCCAAAUUCUGGCCCUUAGUAUUUCCUCCUUUCUUGCAUGCGAUACCUAAGUUUUCAGUCUCCUUUAUAUGAUCCCUGUAUCCUGAUAGAGUGUGUCACUGACCUAAACAUUUGAAAGAAAUGUACACCAGUAUAAAAUAUUUGAUACUGGUAGAAACUUGAACUUUGUGUUUUUAUGAAAAUUCAUUUAUGAGAAUAUGUAAUAUAACUAAAAAGAGUGUUUUAUAUAUAUAUAUAUAUAUAUAUACAUACACGCAUACACAUUUGUUAAGAAGUAUUAAAAAUGUAAGAAUGUUACUCUUUUGAUGGCUAACUUUUCCUUAAUUGAAUUGUUUCUUUGAGUUGUGGACGACCAAGUCUGGAGUCUGGAUGACCAAUGAUAAGAUUUAGAACCACUUGAAUGGAAAGCAACUCUUUACUGGCUUUAUUCCUGAUAUUUUUAAAGAAUUAUUUUAAUAAUUUUAAUAGAAUGUGUAAUUUUAAAACACACAAAAAACUUAAAGUAGUAUUGCUUAUACAGAUAAUUAUUUAACAUGUCUUUUAUGGAUGUAUCUAUAUGUAUAUAGACAGUAAUAUAUUUAUAAAAUAAAUAUACUUUAUGUUGUAGUUGUUGUAAUAGAUGGGAGGAUGGAUGGCUCUGGAUAUGUCUGUGUGUGUUUUGAAAACUCGAGCUGUUUUUCCCCUGACUUAAUGGCAAUUACCCUAAGGGAUAUUUGCUUUUCAUUAUUCUUCUUGCUACUCAGCUUCCUUAUUCAAGAUAAAUAGGAUGUACAGUUUCCUGGCCAUUCUUUUAGAUGUGGCUCAUCCAUUUUAUUAUCAUCCAGCUCCUGGAGAAUUUCUGAGUGACCUAAAAUCAAACAGAUUAUGGCUGGAGAGAUCAGUUGUGUUCCAAAUAUGUUAAACACGGAAAUUCAGCUAGUAUGUUGAGUUUCCUUGUUAUACACCGAGAAAGCAGAGUGUCAAUAACAGUAGAGAAGUAAAUGCAUUAUUUUAUAUUGGUCUGGGAAACCCUGCAGGGCAAGGGUUGACAAACAUUUUCUGUAAAGGAUAGGAUAGUAAAUAAUCCAGGCUUUGAGGAUCAUAUGGUCUCUGUAAACCAUUCCCCUCAUCCCUUAAAGUGAAAGAAGCAGCCGCAGAAAAUACAUACAUGAAUGGGCAUGGCUGUAUGUCAGUUAUAUGCUCACAGAAAGGGGCUGCAGGCCAGAUUUGGCCCAGGGGCCAGAGUUUGCUGAUUCCUACCCUAGAGGGAGAAAAACAGGCAUAUUAAGCAGCAAAUACUGAUACACAUUAAGAAAUCAUACUUAUAUUUCAGUUGGCAUUCAAAGAAAAUCCACUAUUGAUGACCUUAAAAAGAUUUCUCAGAUAGUCACAUAUUAAAAGCAUCUUAAUUCACUUAUGUUUUCUGCCUGGUCACACCCAUUAUUUAGUAGAGAUAAUUUCUUGUUAACCAUCCAAAAAAAGAAUUCUGUAAAAAGAUGUUUUAAUAAAUAUUGGAAUUUUUUCAUGAACUUUAUACUGAUAAAUGGGAAUCCUUACCUACCUUUUGGUUUUUUAAGGGCCUCAUGGACCAAAAAUUCUGUUGUAUUUUGAAAAUUAGCAUAUAAUUAGCCAUAAAAUAUUUUAAAGACUGCAUUUAUCAGUUACAUUUUUCUGCUGGUUUUUGAUUUCUAAAAAAUGACAGAUUGGCCCUUCUUUAAAAAUGGUUUUAAAGAAGAUCAAUAUAUUUUAAGUUUACAUGCUGUAAACUUUAUUCUGUAAAAUUAAAAAUUGUGACUAGUAUAAUUGUGAGUGCACUUGUUGUAUUGUGAAUCUCUUUAUAAGAAACAAAAUGUAUACCUGCUUUCUCUAUCCAAACCUCUAGUAUAGAUUUAAGACACCUUAGGACUGUCCUCAGUGAAAUACUCUUAACAGGAUCAUGUAUGGUUUUAAAUUCAUUGGAGUACACCACUGAGCGUGUUCAUUCACAGCGCUUUGUAAAUGAUGUUAACAUCAUAAAAUCACAUCUGUUGGAAUAUUUUGAAUAUUGUCAUCCACUUAAGUUGCUAUAGUUUCUUUUAAGAUUGGAAUAUAACUCUAGUUUUAACGGGUGUUUACGGUUUUAAAUAUUUGUGUUUUUUUUUUUUUCUUUAAUGCCCUCUGUUAACCUGCUUUUUGCUUCUGUUACAAUAACACUUUGUUAUGUUGGGAGUGGCUUUUUCCCUAAAGCUCUUAGUCUUUCAGAUUGAAAAACAGUUUAAGGUUUUGAUCACUUGACAAUUUGGCAGUAAAAAAAGAAAUUCUGUGCGUGUUUCAGUUCAGUUUUAUAGAUAGUGUAAAAUUUCAUUUUUUAAACCAUAUACCGAAUUUGCCAAUUUUCUGUCUAGAUAUUUCAGAUGAAUAACAAAUUGUUCAUUUAAAGCUUUUGACCCCAUUCUUGAAGCAACUUGUGCCUCAAGGGAAGAUAACAUUGAAGAACAAUGGUUUGUUUUUAUAAAGAAUGUGUUUUAAAUAUGAAGACUUUCUUCAUUUGGGGGAAAUUAUAAACAUCUCAUCUAAUACAGAACACCCGUCAACGUGCACACUUCCACAAACAUGCGGACAUGGCAUUGCCAGUGAACCCAGUUAUGGACUUUAUCUUUUCCUUCUAGGUUUUAUCCUCCCAAAUCAGAGUCGUUUGCUGAGAGUAGAAAUUCCAAUUUGAUCCUUCAAACUUAUAAGAAAACAAGGCGAAGAAUAUGUUUAGAAUAACCAUCUGAUGAAUUCAUGUGAUUCUGUUUAUUCUAUGUCUGUUCUGUGUGUUUGUGUAGUGGGAUUUUUACAGCUCCAAAAAAGCAGUAUUUUAGACCUACCGGAAAUCCAUAUCAAAACAGCUAUGUGAUUCUGCCUCUGAGAAAAAAAUAUAUAUAUAUUAAAAAACUCAGUUUUCUU
Molecule: long non-coding RNA, 3726 nt
Organism: Bos taurus (domestic cattle)
Lineage: Eukaryota; Metazoa; Chordata; Mammalia; Artiodactyla; Bovidae
Source: Ensembl